Molecule: ribosomal RNA, 465 nt
Filed under: Vreelandella stevensii
Lineage: Bacteria; Pseudomonadati; Pseudomonadota; Gammaproteobacteria; Oceanospirillales; Halomonadaceae
Description: partial 16S ribosomal RNA
Rfam family: Bacterial small subunit ribosomal RNA
Source: RNAcentral
CCUACGGGUGGCUGCAGUGGGGAAUAUUGGACAAUGGGCGAAAGCCUGAUCCAGCCAUGCCGCGUGUGUGAAGAAGGCCUUCGGGUUGUAAAGCACUUUCAGUGGGGAAGAAAGCCUUGGGGCUAAUACCCUCGAGGAAGGACAUCACCCACAGAAGAAGCACCGGCUAACUCCGUGCCAGCAGCCGCGGUAAUACGGAGGGUGCGAGCGUUAAUCGGAAUUACUGGGCGUAAAGCGCGCGUAGGCGGUCUGAUAAGCCGGUUGUGAAAGCCCCGGGCUCAACCUGGGAACGGCAUCCGGAACUGUCAGGCUAGAGUGCAGGAGAGGAAGGUAGAAUUCCCGGUGUAGCGGUGAAAUGCGUAGAGAUCGGGAGGAAUACCAGUGGCGAAGGCGGCCUUCUGGACUGACACUGACGCUGAGGUGUGAAAGCGUGGGUAGCAAACAGGAUUAGAUACCCGUGUAGUC